AAAUGUAGCUUGCUACUUAACCUAGCGGCGGACGGGUGAGUAAUGCUUAGGAAUCUGCCUAUUAGUGGGGGACAACAUCUCGAAAGGGAUGCUAAUACCGCAUACGUCCUACGGGAGAAAGCAGGGGACCUUCGGGCCUUGCGCUAAUAGAUGAGCCUAAGUCGGAUUAGCUAGUUGGUGGGGUAAAGGCCUACCAAGGCGACGAUCUGUAGCGGGUCUGAGAGGAUGAUCCGCCACACUGGGACUGAGACACGGCCCAGACUCCUACGGGAGGCAGCAGUGGGGAAUAUUGGACAAUGGGGGGAACCCUGAUCCAGCCAUGCCGCGUGUGUGAAGAAGGCCUUUUGGUUGUAAAGCACUUUAAGCGAGGAGGAGGCUACCGAGAUUAAUACUCUUGGAUAGUGGACGUUACUCGCAGAAUAAGCACCGGCUAACUCUGUGCCAGCAGCCGCGGUAAUACAGAGGGUGCAAGCGUUAAUCGGAUUUACUGGGCGUAAAGCGCGCGUAGGUGGCCAAUUAAGUCAAAUGUGAAAUCCCCGAGCUUAACUUGGGAAUUGCAUUCGAUACUGGUUGGCUAGAGUAUGGGAGAGGAUGGUAGAAUUCCAGGUGUAGCGGUGAAAUGCGUAGAGAUCUGGAGGAAUACCGAUGGCGAAGGCAGCCAUCUGGCCUAAUACUGACACUGAGGUGCGAAAGC
This 694-nucleotide ribosomal RNA is filed under the name Acinetobacter lwoffii. RNAcentral describes it as "bacterial SSU rRNA". It matches the Rfam family "Bacterial small subunit ribosomal RNA", at positions 71 to 760 of the family's 1533-position model. The record is from RNAcentral. Lineage: Bacteria; Pseudomonadati; Pseudomonadota; Gammaproteobacteria; Moraxellales; Moraxellaceae.